RNAcentral lists this non-coding RNA (956 nucleotides) under Alces alces (Eurasian elk). RNAcentral's name for it is "12S ribosomal RNA". It matches the Rfam family "Bacterial small subunit ribosomal RNA". The record is from RNAcentral. Lineage: Eukaryota; Metazoa; Chordata; Mammalia; Artiodactyla; Cervidae.
CAUAGGUUUGGUCCCAGCCUUCCCAUUAAUUCUUGAUAGACUUACACAUGCAAGCAUCCACAUCCCAGUGAAAAUGCCCUCCAAGUUAAUAAGACUAAGAGGAGCUGGUAUCAAGCACACACUUGUAGCUCAUGACACCUUGCUUAGCCACACCCCCACGGGAGACAGCAGUGAUAAAAAUUAAGCCAUAAACGAAAGUUUGACUAAGUCAUAUUGAUUAGGGUUGGUAAAUCUCGUGCCAGCCACCGCGGUCAUACGAUUAACCCAAAUUAAUAGGCAUACGGCGUAAAACGUGUUAAAGCACUACAUUAAAUAAAGUUAAAUUUCAAUUAAACUGUAAAAAGUCAUAAUUGCAAUGAAAAUAGAUAACGAAAGUAACUUUACAGCCACUGAAACACGAUAGCUAAGACCCAAACUGGGAUUAGAUACCCCACUAUGCUUAGCCCUAAACACAAAUAAUUAUAUCAACAAAAUUAUUCGCCAGAGUACUACCGGCAAUAGCCUAAAACUCAAAGGACUUGGCGGUGCUUUAUACCCUUCUAGAGGAGCCUGUUCUAUAAUCGAUAAACCCCGAUAAACCUUACCACCCCUUGCUAAUUCAGUCUAUAUACCGCCAUCUUCAGCAAACCCUAAAAAGGAAUAAAAGUAAGCUUAAUCAUUUUACAUAAAAACGUUAGGUCAAGGUGUAACCUAUGGGGUGGAAAGAAAUGGGCUACAUUUUCUAACUUAAGAAAAUCUAUCACGAAAAUUAUUAUGAAAAUUAAUAAUUAAAGGAGGAUUUAGCAGUAAACUAAGAAUAGAGUGCUUAGUUGAAUUAGGCCAUGAAGCACGCACACNNNNCCCGUCACCCUCCUCAAAUAAACACAAUAUUCCUAAACUUAUUAAUACAUAUAAUUCCUAUGAGAGGAGACAAGUCGUAACAAGGUAAGCAUACUGGAAAGUGUGCUUGGAUAAAU